CAAAAUUGUAAUUUAUGAGUGACUCAAGUUUUGGGCAUGCGACAUUGAACUUGUAAAUGGUAGUGUUUCUUCCUGUGAUACGUUUAGGGUUGCUUUGGGUGUUUGUUAUGGUGAUAUCGGUAAGGUGGUGGUGCUGGCGAUUGUGGUGAAAUUUACUAGUGCUAGUGCUAGUAAUGGUGGCGCUAGCAGAGGUGGUACAGGCAUGUCAACGUUGGCGACAGUGGAGCAGGUAGUGAUGGUGCUGACAGUGGUGCUAGCAGUGGUGGUCCGUUGGUGAAUUUCGUUUGUGUUUGGGUUUGGGGUGAAAUGGGAUGAAGAGUGUUUAUGACUGAUUAUUUUGAUGAUUGUGAUUAAUAAAUUAGUUAAUUUGUGACCAUUAAAUAAUAAUGUGUUGUAGAUGCGGUUGUGCAUUGCGUUAUCAUUCUGUAAUAUGGGAUGGUGGUGUAUUGUGGGUGCGAUGUGUGGUUGUGCAUUAUGCGAUGGUGGUAUGGAGGCUCGCGGGUACUGUGGUAAUACUGACAAGGUGGUGGUAAUUCUAAAGGAGGUAUUGUGGGUGGACAGGAAGGACAAGCAAGUGGGAGUGGGAAAAGUGUUUGCGACCAAUUUAUUUUGGAUGUUGUGAUUAAUGAAUUGUUAAUUUGUGAUCAGUAAAUAAUACGACCCAAUGUAUGACCA
This 675-nucleotide long non-coding RNA is filed under the name Olea europaea subsp. europaea. The record is from RNAcentral. Lineage: Eukaryota; Viridiplantae; Streptophyta; Magnoliopsida; Lamiales; Oleaceae.